This 291-nucleotide long non-coding RNA is filed under the name Amborella trichopoda. RNAcentral's name for it is "long non-coding RNA (ATRI_LNC000694)". The record is from RNAcentral. Lineage: Eukaryota; Viridiplantae; Streptophyta; Magnoliopsida; Amborellales; Amborellaceae.
UACUUGGAAGUCGUGGUAGUGGUCUUAGAGCGGUGGACUCUUUCACUAAGAAUUGAAAAAGAAAGGGUAGGCGGGAGGCAAUAGACAGUGGACUUAGGUCUAGGACUGACUACUCUGAGACUCAGUGAGGGAAAGCAUGCCGAGUACAUAUAUAGCUCUCUAUCUCAAGUUUAGCCUUAGUCUCCUCUACCUCCAUUCUUUUCCACUGGCCUAACUAUCCCUUCACUCCCUCAUUUCACCGUUGUUCGGGUCUACAAGGCUGCAGAUGGAUGCCAUGGCCUAAGAAAGAUC